UACGGGGGGAGCAAGCGUUGUUCGGAUUUACUGGGCGUAAAGCGCACGUAGGCGGUCUGUUAUGUCGGAUGUGAAAGCCCUUGGCUUAACUGAGGAAGUGCAUCCGAAACUGGCAGGCUAGAGUACUAAAGAGGAUAGCGGAAUUCCCAGUGUAGAGGUGAAAUUCGUAGAUAUUGGGAAGAACACCGGUGGCGAAGGCGGCUAUCUGGACCGACAUUGACGCUGAGGCGCGAAAGCCAGGGGAGCAAACGGG
RNAcentral lists this ribosomal RNA (253 nucleotides) under uncultured bacterium. RNAcentral's name for it is "partial 16S ribosomal RNA". It matches the Rfam family "Bacterial small subunit ribosomal RNA", at positions 524 to 776 of the family's 1533-position model. The record is from RNAcentral.